RNAcentral lists this long non-coding RNA (837 nucleotides) under Populus tremula. RNAcentral describes it as "long non-coding RNA (PTRE_LNC000781)". The record is from RNAcentral. Lineage: Eukaryota; Viridiplantae; Streptophyta; Magnoliopsida; Malpighiales; Salicaceae.
GGCAGCCAACAGAAGCUUAAAGUAAGGAGAUGCGAGUACAAAAUGUUGGGAGAACUCUAGGCUAGCAUUCAAUUCUAGAAUGCAGCCCCACGCCUUUUAUUUCAACCCAUCACCAAGAAUGGCAAUUUUUUUUGUAGGAGAGGUUGCGACAGUCACAAUGCAGUAACUCAAAACAAGGACAAGGGCCCUCUCCCUUUCUUGCACCUCCAAACUUCCACAUCCAUGACUAACACCAUUAACUCACUCUGCUCAGACCUUUUACUUCAUAUUGCCAUCAUUUCCAUUUUCUUUAUGUUUAAAAGACUAUUAAGCUCAACUAUCAAUGUAUAAACAGUGAGAAAACAACAUACAUUAUCCCAAAGAACACAUCCAUUGCAGCAUGUGUGGAUCAGCAUAAAAGUUUUGAUCAUUACAGGAAGCAUAGUGGCAGCCAACAGAAGCUUAAAGUAAGGAGAUGCGAGUACAAAAUGUUGGGAGAACUCUAGGCUAGCAUUCAAUUCUAGAAUGCAGCCCCACGCCUUUUAUUUCAACCCAUCACCAAGAAUGGCAAUUUUUUUUGUAGGAGAGGUUGCGACAGUCACAAUGCAGUAACUCAAAACAAGGACAAGGGCCCUCUCCCUUUCUUGCACCUCCAAACUUCCGCAUCCAUGACUAACACCAUUAACUCACUCUGCUCAGACCUUUUACUUCAUAUUGUCAUCAUUUCCAUGUCAAUUGGCAUCAAUGUAUAUUGAAAAAUAGGUUACAAUUAUUGAAAGAAAGAUGCUUUGAAUCAGUAGUAGUAGUAGUAUUUAUCACACCAAGAACAACAAUUGAUUUCAUGACAAAAUGUGAACC